RNAcentral lists this ribosomal RNA (497 nucleotides) under uncultured bacterium. RNAcentral describes it as "partial 16S ribosomal RNA". It matches the Rfam family "Bacterial small subunit ribosomal RNA", at positions 28 to 507 of the family's 1533-position model. The record is from RNAcentral.
GACGAACGCUGGCGGCGUGCCUAAUACAUGCAAGUUGAGCGCUGAAGGUUGGUACUUGUACCCACUGGAUGAGCAGCGAACGGGUGAGUAACGCGUGGGGAAUCUGCCUUUGAGCGGGGGACAACAUUUGGAAACGAAUGCUAAUACCGCAUAAAAACUUUAAACACAAGUUUUAAGUUUGAAAGAUGCAAUUGCAUCACUCAAAGAUGAUCCCGCGUUGUAUUAGCUAGUUGGUGAGGUAAAGGCUCACCAAGGCGAUGAUACAUAGCCGACCUGAGAGGGUGAGCGGCCACAUUGGGACUGAGACACGGCCCAAACUCCUACGGGAGGCAGCAGUAGGGAAUCUUCGGCAAUGGACGAAAGUCUGACCGAGCAACGCCGCGGGAGUGAAGAAGGUUGUCGGAUCGUAAAACUCUGUUGGUAGAGAAGAACGUUGGUGAGAGUGGAAAGCUCAUCAAGUGACGGUAACUACCCAGAAAGGGACGGCUAACUCCGUG